ACUCCUACGGGAGGCAGCAGUGGGGAAUAUUGCACAAUGGGCGCAAGCCUGAUGCAGCCAUGCCGCGUGUGUGAAGAAGGCCUUCGGGUUGUAAAGCACUUUUCAGUCGUGAGGAAGGUAGUGUAGUUAAUAGCUGCAUUAUUUGACGUUAGCGACAGAAGAAGCACCGGCUAACUCCGUGCCAGCAGCCGCGGUAAGUACGGAGGGUGCGAGCGUUAAUCGGUAAUUACUGGGCGUAAAGCGCAUGCAGGUGGUUGUUAAGUCAGAUGUGAAAGCCCGGGGCUCAACCUCGGAAUAGCAUUUGAAACUGGCAGACUAGAGUACUGUAGAGGGGGUAGAAUUUCAGGUGUAGCGGUGAAAUGCGUAGAGAUCUGAAGGAUACCGGUGGCGAAGGCGGCCCCUGGACAGAUACUGACACUCAGAUGCGAAAGCGUGGGAGCAAACGAGGAUUAGAUACCCCGUGGUAGACUGUCA
This 474-nucleotide ribosomal RNA is filed under the name uncultured bacterium. Its description in RNAcentral is "bacterial SSU rRNA". It matches the Rfam family "Bacterial small subunit ribosomal RNA", at positions 335 to 802 of the family's 1533-position model. The record is from RNAcentral.